Molecule: RNA transcript, 873 nt
Organism: Chelmon rostratus (copperband butterflyfish)
Lineage: Eukaryota; Metazoa; Chordata; Actinopteri; Chaetodontiformes; Chaetodontidae
Gene name: essential MCU regulator, mitochondrial-like
Exons: 3
Source: RefSeq, a predicted model, not a curated record
UUUUCCGCAUUGCUGCUGCUGCGUCAAACGCUGUCAACAUGGCGUCGGCGCUCGGUCGCCUGGCCAGGCUGUCGGCGCUCAGGACCGGGCUCACCUCUCGGCUGACCCCCUCCAGCGGGCCGGGGAGGACGGUGACUCCGGGCCGGACAGCCGUGUGCACCCCGUCCGGCGCCAUCCUGCCCAAACCCAAGAAGACCCCCUUCGGCCUCGUUCGGAUUGCUCUGGUCUUGGUGCCCUUCUUGUAUGUGGGGACUCUGAUCAGCAAGAGCUUUGCUGCGCUGCUGGAGGAGCACGACAUCUUCGUACCCGAGGACGACGACGAUGACGACUGAGGGGUGUGAAGCCUCCUGGUCCUCAGGUAUCACCGGUUUGGAUUGUGGAAAACCACACACACACUCUAACAGCUUAUAUGAUGUCAUCUUGUUUGUCACUACCGCUGGGACGAGUCCGUGAGCCUCCGAGCACAUAAAUGCCUUCCUGGUGUCCCCUCUGCUGUGUUGUUAAGUCUGCGCUGGGUUCAGGGUUUUUGCUGUAGUCCACGCCGAUAGGGGUGUCCCAGGCUGCUUACAUCGUACUGUAUCUGCAUGCACUACUGAAGUCUUAAUAAAGGGAAUGAUGAUUGUAAACUGCAGCACAUGGCUAAGUUUGUGCGUUCAAAACAGAGAUCAGUCCAUCAGGCACACGAAAUGCGAUGUUGGUGCUUUCCCUACAUAUAUGCAUUUGAGUGAAUGUAACACAUAAGCUUUGCUUUCUGACACAAGGCUGUCCCAAACACUACUUUGAAUAGGGAGCUGAAUAAGUCACAAUGCAUAUAUACUCAUAAAGUUCAUAAAAUACCACACCAGUUACUCCAUACCAUUUUAAAGGGACAGU